This 497-nucleotide ribosomal RNA is filed under the name uncultured bacterium. RNAcentral describes it as "partial 16S ribosomal RNA". It matches the Rfam family "Bacterial small subunit ribosomal RNA", at positions 28 to 507 of the family's 1533-position model. The record is from RNAcentral.
GAUGAACGCUGGCGGCGUGCCUAAUACAUGCAAGUCGAGCGAACAGACGAGGAGCUUGCUCCUCUGACGUUAGCGGCGGACGGGUGAGUAACACGUGGAUAACCUACCUAUAAGACUGGGAUAACUUCGGGAAACCGGAGCUAAUACCGGAUAAUAUAUUGAACCGCAUGGAUCAAUAGUGAAAGACGGUUUUGCCGUCACUUAUAGAUGGAUCCGCGCCGCAUUAGCUAGUUGGUAAGGUAACGGCUUACCAAGGCAACGAUGCGUAGCCGACCUGAGAGGGUGAUCAGCCACACUGGAACUGAGACACGGUCCAGACUCCUACGGGAGGCAGCAGUAGGGAAUCUUCCGCAAUGGGCGAAAGCCUGACGGAGCAACGCCGCGUGAGUGAUGAAGGUCUUCGGAUCGUAAAACUCUGUUAUUAGGGAAGAACAAAUGUGUAAGUAACUAUGCACGUCUUGACGGUACCUAAUCAGAAAGCCACGGCUAACUACGUG